Molecule: non-coding RNA, 21 nt
Filed under: Caenorhabditis elegans
Lineage: Eukaryota; Metazoa; Nematoda; Chromadorea; Rhabditida; Rhabditidae
Source: RNAcentral
UGAUAUAGUAAUAUUAGCCUG